AGGCAGUUAUCAUACAGCAAUUAAAAUAUAUUGGAGAAAGAAUAAUUACUAAUUGCAUUUACUGUUGCGAAAGAGGGAAUACUAGAGAUAAUUAUUAAUUUACUACAUAUUAUUGCAGCACAAAAUGUGUCGAAAAGACGACAGUGACAAGAAAAGCCAUGCCGGUUCCUGCAGUAGACAUGAAGGAAUAUGGUGACCAACAAGUGAACAUACUUGCUGAUGAUCUCGAGGAGCUGAGGACUGUGGAACGAUCAGAAUUCCGAAAUGUGUUGGAAAAGAUAAUUGAUGAAGAUGUACCCAGGCUGUACCGGUACCCAACAAAUGAUACAGAAGAAGUACC
Haliotis rufescens (red abalone) is the source of this 340-nucleotide long non-coding RNA. RefSeq lists it as uncharacterized. The record is from RefSeq and is a predicted model, not a curated record. Lineage: Eukaryota; Metazoa; Mollusca; Gastropoda; Lepetellida; Haliotidae. The transcript is spliced from 3 exons.